RNAcentral lists this ribosomal RNA (733 nucleotides) under uncultured eukaryote. RNAcentral's name for it is "SSU rRNA". It matches the Rfam family "Eukaryotic small subunit ribosomal RNA", at positions 557 to 1295 of the family's 1831-position model. The record is from RNAcentral.
UAGUCUGGUGCCAGCAGCCGCGGUAAUUCCAGCUCCAAUAGCGUAUAUUAAAGUUGUUGCAGUUAAAACGCUCGUAGUCGGAUUUCGGGGCAGGUUUGCCGGUCUGCCGAUGGGUAUGCACUGGUAGAACUGUCCUUCCUUCCGGAGACGGCGCCUACUCUUAACUGAGCGGGUGUCGGAGACGGAUCGUUUACUUUGAAAAAAUCAAAGUGUUUCAAGCAGGCAGCUCGCUUUUGCAUGGAUUAGCAUGGGAUAAUGAAAUAGGACUUUGGUGCUAUUUUGUUGGUUUCGAACACCGAAGUAAUGAUUAACAGGGACAGUCAGGGGCACUCGUAUUCCGCCGAGAGAGGUGAAAUUCUUAGACCAGCGGAAGACGAACCACUGCGAAAGCAUUUGCCAGGGAUGUUUUCACUGAUCAAGAACGAAAGUUAGGGGAUCGAAGACGAUCAGAUACCGUCGUAGUCUUAACCAUAAACCAUGCCGACUAGGGAUUGGAGGAUGUUCCUAUGUGACUCCUUCAGCACCUUUCGGGAAACUAAAGUCUUUGGGUUCCGGGGGGAGUAUGGUCGCAAGGCUGAAACUUAAAGGAAUUGACGGAAGGGCACCACCAGGAGUGGAGCCUGCGGCUUAAUUUGACUCAACACGGGGAAACUUACCAGGUCCAGACAUUGUGAGGAUUGACAGAUUGAGAGCUCUUUCUUGAUUCGAUGGGUGGUGGUGCAUGGCCGUUCUU